CAACAUUUUUACUUUUACAGAAUUUUUCUAAAACACAUUAAUUAUAAAAGUGUAUCAUAUUCUAUAAACUGAUCUUUGGAGUUUUUAAAACCAUCUAUUCUAUAAAUAUUUCCUACUCAAGAUUACUGUGGAAUUACAAAAUUAUUCUAAUGAAAAAUGGGAAGAGGACAGUCCAGGAAGAGAUAUAAUCUUACAUUUUUAUAGAUUGCAAAUUUUACUAUAUUUCUACCUAAAAAAGGUACCAAUACCAAAUGGCAAUAACUCGUGGGACCACCAAAUGUUCUGAGCUAACUCAUUGGCCUUAUUGACAUAUCAAAUUUAUAAUUAGGGAAAUAAUACAUUAUUGUAAUUUUUCCCUUCUGAAUUUCCUUUUACAAUGGCUGAUUAUUAAAGAAUUAGGAUAGAAAAGUAUUACUUUUUCUCUUCCAAAUAAUGACCAAAAAAGCUCAUAGGCUAAUGUAUCACAACAAGAUAUUAGAAAGAGAAAAAUCGAUUGUCAGUAAGAUACUUUGUAAUAAAUCUUACAAUAGUGACCUUGUUUGCCUGCUACAUACUGUAUAAAGAAAAGAAGCCAAUCAAAACUGCAUGAAUGAUUAAUGCAUUUCAUACAAAGUUCAGUGGUAUUCUUAGAAUAUAUUCGCUAAUGUGCUGCAGUCAUAAGAAGGCAAACAAAUGUUAAAGCUCAAGUAAGGAGUUUCAGAAGGAGUUCUUAAGAGAGACACAUGCAGUUAAUUUCUUCGUUUCUGUUGACUGUACAAAUUGAAGUACUGAUAUUAGAAUACAUUUUGUAAGGAAAAGAAAUGACAUUCAGAUUGCAGUUUGAAGUUGUGAAAACUAGGGAACUAUGCAGUAGAUUUGAUUAUUGAAAAAUCUUAUAAUAGGAUUAUGCAUUUUGCUCUGUUGACAUUAGGUUUAAUAACAGGAUUUUCCUUGGCCAAAGAAAGUGUGCCAUUUUGUAACGCAAAUUUUAAGAGUGAAUGUGUGGUUUACCAUAUCUUUUUUUUUCUUCCUGCCUCAAUGUAUAACAGAGGACAAACGGCUGGGUAUGUGGAAUGACUGAGCCCCUGAGAUAUUUAGAAUGUUUGUCAGUGCAGCAUUGCCUAACCCAUCCUGACUGAUGCAAGUUAUUGAGCAUUAAUAUUAGUAUAAACUGAAUUUGGGGAAAUUGAGGAAGAAGGAAAAGAAGCAACUGUUUUCUAAAUAGGCAUAUCAAGGUAUUUUUGGGCAGGUGAAAGAGUCAGGCUGUAGAAAAUGGAGAAAGAAGAAAAUAAAACUUUGGCAAUAACUCCACUGUUGGAAUCCAUGUCUUGACACUAUGGUGAACGAUCACAGCUCUCAAGAUUAUACUGGAACAGUCACUGCUAUGCAUUUCCUCUGAGCUCAAAGAGUUUUAGCUACUUUCUUAGGGCUUCACAACUGGUAAGGGACAGACUCAAAACACAUUGCUUUCAAUUCUAUUACACUGUCAUCUAAACACAGAACGUGAGCACCUGACUAAAUGUGGCAGCUGCUCAGAGCUCUCUUGGAGAGAGAACCUACUCUGGGGAGUGCAGUUAACUAGCAGCCUCCAGCUGCAGUGCCAUUAGGAUUUGGGAUUCAGUAUAGGCAUUUGAGCCAAGGAUACACUCUACCCAGGAAGUCCCCAGCCAAUGACUGAACAUGGAAGGGGGAUUUGGGUCUGGCCAUUUCUGCCCAAUGCAGUGUCUCCUGUGGGCAAUCUGUAUGCUAUGCUCUCCAUUGCCAAGACUUUCUCAGAGCUGCACUGUUCUCUGAGGCUCUUCUUAUCCCCUCCUCCUAACUUUUCUCUUCUCCGUUCACAGGAGGUGUCAGAACAUCACUGUUGGAAGAUUUUCUUGGCCCACUCUUGCCCUCUUCCCUCUUAUCUUAUGUAGAUGUCACCUGUUAAAAAAAGAUAUUCUGACAUUUGUAAAAAGAGUCAAGGAAACGUAUUUUGAGCUAUUUACAGACUUUAAUAAUUGAGAAAGGUGUGUAAACAAUUUGGAAUAUGUUUGUUUCUCUCUGACUGGGGAGAGAUUGGGCAUACAUAGUAGGAUUGGAUAGGGGAGAUAGGGCGUACAUAGAUAAGAAUGGAUACUCCUACUCCCUAAGCCCCCCUGUUAACACGAGUGAAAGCCACUUUGACAUCAUGAGUAGCACCCUGUGGUGGUCACCAAUACUCAUGGAUACAAGAACAGAGGAAAUAAAGAAGAAUUCCUCACUUUCCCUCCCUCAUAUACCUCUAGAAUUUGGAAACUAUCUGAGUAUUCUUAACUUAUGGCAAUAUAGUUAUUUGCAUCAGAGCAAUAAGAAUCCUUUUGCAACAGGAUACAGUUGGAGAAACUGCUUGUUUUACCAGGGCUUGGACUGGAAGGGUAUGCUACUUUUAAGGAGUCAAGCUCAUCUUGCAGAGCUAAUAAAAGCCCUUUGGGAAAACUGGGCUCAUAUUCUGGGCUACACAGUCCCUGGACAGGGUUCCAAACCUUUCGAGAGUAAAGAAUGUAACUUUCCAACAGCAACCACAUAGUCUUGGGACCUCAAGAAGAGAGGAGUUUACCCAGCUAAUAGGUAUUUGAGGAUACAAACCCAUGGCUGGGCUCACCUUGAAAAGGUCUUAUCUGGGAUUCCUUGUGGAACAGAGCCCCAUCAAAGCCAAUCUAAAAGGUGUGUGUAAAGCCAGGUAUGGUGGCUCACACCUGUAACCCAAGCACUUUGGAAGACCGAGGCAGGUGGAUCACUUUAGGUCAGGAGUUUGAGACCAGCCUGGCCAACAUAGUGAAAACCCAUCUCUAUUAAAAAUAUAAACAAUAGCUGGGUAUGGUGGCACAUGCCUGUAAGCCCAGCUGCUUGGGAGACUGAGGCAGGAGAAUCACUUGAAUCCAGGACACAGAGGUUGCGAACAUGCCACCGCACUCCAGCCUAGGCAACAGAGUGAGACUCUGUCUCAAAAUAAGUUAAUAAAUAAAAAUAUAAAGGCAUAUGUAGAAAUAAGUAUUCUUGCCACACUUUAUGCAAAUAAGCAGAUCAAGUACAAGAUUAAGUCUAUUUUGCAAACAACAAAGUCUUAUGAUUUGUUUUAAACAGAAAUGAGGAUUAAAUUAUGUUUCAAAAUUGAUCAUACAUUUGCCAUUGAAUUCUUGACUCAUUAGUUGAUUUUUAGUUUUUGCCUACAUUUUAAACUAACCCUGCUUAUUCCUAUAAACCAACCAGUGAUCACCAGCUGCAGUUCAAAAGGAACAGGAGGGACGGGUAUUGUAAAAAUCUGGAUCAAUGUACUGGUUCUGAGCAAUUGUCUUGCAAAUCCUGCCACGUGAUGGAAGUGGGUGCCCAUCACCCGGAAGUCUCCUUUUUGGGAAAGUAAGACCAAUGGAUUUAACCAAAGCCAAACCCCAUGCACUCAAAUCUUAGCAAGCAUAUCUGGGAGUUAUCUGGGCGUAAUCUUAGACAGUUAUCUGGGAGUGUCACAAGACACCCUUUCUCUCCCUUGCUGGAGAAGGACUCAAUUUCACAGCUUCACCUUAGCAUUUGGCUUAUGAUAAGUAGUUCAUAUAACACCCCUCCCCACUGAGACACAUUUUUGGUCUCAAGCUCAAUUCUAAGUUUUGGGUGAAAGCCCCAAGAAGAAAACAAAUCUGGGCCGGACGUGGUGGCUUACACCUGGAAUUCCAGCACUUUGGGAGGCUGAGGCGGGUGGAUCACAAAGUCAGGAGUUAGCGGCCAGCCUGGCCAAUAUGCUGAAACUCCAUCAUACUAAAAAUACAAAAAUUAGCUGGGCAUGGUGGCACAUGCCUGUAGUCCCACUUCCUGGAAAGGAUGAGGCAGAAGAAUCACUAGAACCUGGGAGGUGGAGGUUGCAGUGAGCCCAAGAUUGUAUCACUGCACUCCAGGCUGGGCAAGAGAGUGAGACUCCAUCAAAGAAAGAAAGAGAGAAAGAGAAAGAGAGGGAGAAAGAGAGAGAAAGAAAAACAAAGAAAGAAACAAACAAACUGGAUCUGAGGGACCUAGAGGAAGAUGACAACAAAAGUUAAAAGGCACAGCACAGGUGGGCAUUACUAAUUCCUGCCAGUUGAGCCAAGCUUCCCGUUUCAUGGAUAAAGGUCAUGCUAGUAUUCAUGGCAUAAUUGAGUUCUAAGGAAUUCAAAGGCUACUGACAGCAGGGGAGAUAGGGCAUAUGCAGUUAAGAGCAGAUACUCCCACCCCCUAGGCAUCCCCUGUUAACAUGGUUGAAAGCUGCUUUGACAGCCAUGGGUGGCACCCUAUCAUAGUCACCGGAACUCAGGGAUAUAAGGACAGAGGAAAGACGAAUACCUCACUUUUCCUCCCUCAUGUAUCCUGGGCAUUUGCUAAGAAGAGAAAGAAAUUAGGGAUGCCUGCUCCCCUUUCUAGAUGAGUAGCCAUUCAUCUUCAGUCUGUACCCCUUUCAAAUGCAAACGUAACCUCUGGGACUCCUCUGAAAAAGAAGCUUGCUGUUUUCCUUUUUCCUCCUCUGUCUUUUCUUCACAGCUAGGUAAUUUUGUUUUUAUACAUUCCCCUCAGGUGCAUCCUCCAAACUGGGAAGAGUUAAUUCCCAAACCGUAGACUGGUUGGGCUCAGGGGAAGGGAACCCAGAAGUCUGACAUGCUGGCAAAAGGGUAAAAGGUUUUUUGUUUUUUUUUUUUUCCUUUUUAUACCAGUCAGGCUUUUGACCUCCCCCUCCCUGUGCAAACCAGUAAAAGACCUUGGGAUUUUUUGAACUGUCCUUAACCCCCACUUGUGUGUUUUAAUAGAUGUUUUCUAAUAACUCUUUUUGUCUCUUCUCACCUUCAGGCCAUCAAACUCCAAAUGGUCAUGCAACCGGAGCCUCGGAUGAUAGCCCCUUUUGCUGGAGACCCUUAGAUAGGCCUCUGAAUAAGAUCUGACCGCCGUUUUCCCAAAAUAGAAUUGGCCUUAUGGUUCAAACACCUCCUACCCCCUGUCAUUAGAGAGCAGUUAAGAUUGGUUUUUGUCUUUAUCUUUAUCUUUAUUCUAACAGAAGAUAGAUGUACAUCUUUAGAGUGGGGAAUGAGACAGUCAAAUGCCGAGCCAGAUAAUAAGGGGUCCCUGAAGAAUAUCUGACCUGUGCCACAAGUAUUUACAUUAGAUGUUUUCGUGCAAAUGAGGGAAGCUUCCCAGGGCUUAUCUGGGCAUGCCCACAGUGGACUGGAGCCCAACAAGCACAUUAGCGGAAGUGGGUGGAGCCACGGCGAAUCCAAACCUUAUGCAGGGGAGAAACCUGCUUUCUUCAGUUUAUAUGGUGACCUGGGAAUCAAUCUGUGAGGUAGAGGACCUAUUAGCAGGUCUCCAUCUCACUUUGCUGCGUUUCUUUCUUUCUUUUUUUCCUUUUCCAAUAAAGUCCUGCUAUAUUCACCCUUCAA
Callithrix jacchus (white-tufted-ear marmoset) is the source of this 5390-nucleotide non-coding RNA. The record is from RefSeq and is a predicted model, not a curated record. NCBI's taxonomy places the organism in Eukaryota, Metazoa, Chordata, Mammalia, Primates, Cebidae.